AUGGCCUCCUCCACGAUGCCGCGCCACAUCGCUCUCCUCCUGCUCCUCCUGGCGUCCACGCGCGCGGCGUCCGCGGCCGGCGCCGGCGCCUGCGCGGCCGAGAAGUUCCCGGCGGGGAAGACAUAUGCCAAGUGCGAGGACCUCCCGCAGCUGGGCGCCGCGCUGCACUGGACCUACGACGAGGCCAAGUCGUCGCUCUCGCUGGCGUUCGUGGCGGCGCCGGCGGGUGCCAACGGGUGGGUGGCCUGGGCGCUGAACCCCACCGGCGAGGGCAUGGCCGGCGCGCAGGCGCUCGUGGCGCUCAAGGGCUCCGGCUCCGCCGCCCCCACCGUUAGGACGUACAACAUCACCGGCUACGUGCCGCUCGGCAAGGCCUCCACGCCCAUCGCCUUCCCGGCCACCGACCUCGCCGCCGACUCCGGCAGCGGCGGCAAGAUCCGGCUCUACGGCAAGCUGCAGCUGCACAGCGGGAUGAAGGCGGUGAACCACAUAUGGCAGGUCGGCACCUCCGUCACCGCCGGGGCCCCCGACAAGCACGCCUUCGCCGCCGGCAACCUCGCCUCGAAGUCCAAGCUCGUCCUCUCGGGCAAAGCGGCCUCCGCGGCCUCGCCUUCGCCGGCGCCCGCCCCCAUGGCCGGUGGCCCGUCCGGAUCGGCCGGCAGCGACGGCGGCGCUUCGGCGACCACGGCGCCUUCAGCCGGCAAGUCCCCGUCGGGCGCGGCCGCGGUCGGCGUGUCGGCGCCGGCACUCCUCGUGCUCGCGUUGAUGGGCCUCCUCGCGGUGGUAUGA
This 789-nucleotide ribosomal RNA is filed under the name Triticum aestivum (bread wheat). RNAcentral's name for it is "partial small subunit ribosomal RNA". Lineage: Eukaryota; Viridiplantae; Streptophyta; Magnoliopsida; Poales; Poaceae. The record is from RNAcentral.